Molecule: transfer RNA, 74 nt
Filed under: Phrynosoma platyrhinos (Desert horned lizard)
Lineage: Eukaryota; Metazoa; Chordata; Lepidosauria; Squamata; Phrynosomatidae
Description: tRNA-OTHER
Source: RNAcentral
GAGCCAGUGUAGUGUAGUGGUUUGAGCAUUGGACUAUGACUCUGGAGGUCAGGGUUCAAAUUCCAGCUUGCCCA